UACGUAGGGUGCAAGCGUUGUCCGGAAUUAUUGGGCGUAAAGAGCUCGUAGGCGGUCUGUUGCGUCGGCUGUGAAAACCCGAGGCUCAACCUCGGGCCUGCAGCCGAUACGGGCAGACUAGAGUUCGGCAGGGGAGACUGGAAUUUACGGUGUAGCGGUGAAAUGCGUAGAUAUCGUAAGGAAGACCAGUGGCGAAGGCGGGUCUCUGGACAGUUCCUGACGCUGAGGCACGAAGGUCAGGGGAGCAAACGGG
This 253-nucleotide ribosomal RNA is filed under the name uncultured bacterium. RNAcentral's name for it is "partial 16S ribosomal RNA". It matches the Rfam family "Bacterial small subunit ribosomal RNA", at positions 524 to 776 of the family's 1533-position model. The record is from RNAcentral.